Molecule: long non-coding RNA, 1745 nt
Organism: Sapajus apella (tufted capuchin)
Lineage: Eukaryota; Metazoa; Chordata; Mammalia; Primates; Cebidae
Exons: 2
Source: RefSeq, a predicted model, not a curated record
CCCCUUGUUUACAUAAAGUAUUUAGGUAGGACAAGUCCUUGAGGUGUUCGCGGUAGGGAUGGAGGGCCUCUGCUCGAGAUCUCUUGGCCCUUACCUUUGUCCCUGGACCUUCCGUGUUUCAGUUUUAAUCUUGAAAUGGAGUGGCCUUCAGAACUGGGGAGAUACUGUAAACCAGUUAUCUUUUUAUCACCAAUGGUAAUUGAAAACUAGUUGAGUGAUGUCAGAUCUUUCUGUCAGGGUUGAAUUUGAUGGUUAUUUCAGCAGCUGGGUUUUUGUUUUUGAAGUUUUGGUCCACCCCAAAAAAUGAAAGUCUAACGCAUGUUAAGAAUUUAUUCUCCUGUUAGGUUUUGGUGUUUGAGGUGUGGAUUUCAGAGUUGGCUAUUCUGUUAGAUUUAGAGGUGUGGAACAUCUUUUUAACUGAGAGAUCCUGAAACAUGCAAACAUGGCAGGGAAGUUAGAAUUUCCUGAUGGUCAUAUUUAACAUUUUAAAGUUUACUUUUUGGUUGUUGCCAUUUUUCUAGGAUUCAUGUCUUUUUUGGGGAAGUACAGUUUAGUUCUUUGAGGACUAGAAUUUAAUGAUUUCUUCUUUUACACAUGUAGGAGUUUUUGAGAUUUGGGAAGGAUAUGGAUAUGGCUUUAUUCCUAAGGAAAUGGAGGCAGUAGUUUCAGGAUACUCUCUUUUCAAGGUAUGCUAACCUGGUUAUGAUGUCUAACCGAUUUUGGUUGACAGCCAGACCACUAGCGCAAUGAAUGCCUGGCACAUAGUUUGCAAAUCAUUUAAGGGAAGCUUACUCUCUUAAGACAGUUUAAUACGUAGAAGUGUCCCUCCUAAAAAUCUGAGUUUGAUUUAGCAAUCCAGUUAUACCUGCAGGUACUGAUGAUUAAUUCUUUGAAGACAAAAUAAGCAGCUGUAUAGCUUCACUGGUAGAUUCAGUGUAUACUUGUCUUGUACUUUCCUGUUUUUUGAUCAGCUAGAUAAAUGACUUUAGUGGGUAAAUGUCUGCCUACAAAACCAAAUUCUGACCCUGAUCUAAAUAGUAUCCCAGUGCACCGCUAUCACUGAAACAUCAAAGUUAGCCUUCAGAUGGGCAUUCCUGGUUCCUUGGGUUGGCUUGAGUGAGGUCUGUCUCAUCUUAUUAGGGGACUAAAAUGAUUUUGGUUGUUUUGUAGAGAAUCAUAAUUAGAGAUCUGUAGAUAAUCUUAAUUCUUUUGGACUUUGUAAAAAUUUUCAACCUUACGUCGGUGGAAGUGGUCAUGUGAAGAAUGAAACUUUUAAGAAAGAAAAAAUGGGCAAAACUAAUGCUAAACUUGAGACUAUUGGGCAGAAAUUUGCCUAUGUAUAUAGUAAUUGGUCUUGAGUCAAAGUAUGCUUAUUUUUAAGAUCACUGAGUAUUUCCUAGUGCUACACUCUAUAUAGGUUUGCUUAUAGAAAUAAACCCAGGGGUAAGCCCAGAAACUGAGUAUCAACCCUAAAGAAAGCCUUAUCAAGAGCGUCUAUUCUCUUCAAGAGCUGCUACUGGAGUUUAGGACUGGGCUGGUUUGCUGCUUAUUUUCUCCAGACAUAUGCAGCCACACUUGAAUUUUGCCAAGUAUGCACAUUAUUCCAACUUGCAGUCACAAUCAUCAACUAAUAGCAUUAUGAGGAGAGCUAUACAGACUGUAUGUUUUUUACAGCUUGUUGAAAUAGAAACAUUUAGAUGGAUACAUAAAUGUGCAAAUGUUGGGAAAAAACAGUAGCCCUAGCA